RNAcentral lists this ribosomal RNA (406 nucleotides) under uncultured bacterium. Its description in RNAcentral is "partial 16S ribosomal RNA". It matches the Rfam family "Bacterial small subunit ribosomal RNA", at positions 29 to 526 of the family's 1533-position model. The record is from RNAcentral.
AUUGAACGCUGGCGGCAGGCCUAACACAUGCAAGUCGAACGAGUGGCGGACGGGUGAGUAACGUCUGGGAAACUGCCUGAUGGAGGGGGAUAACUACUGGAAACGGUAGCUAAUACCGCAUACCAUCGGAUGUGCCCAGAUGGGAUUAGCUAGUAGGUGGGGUAACGGCUCACCUAGGCGACGAUCCCUAGCUGGUCUGAGAGGAUGACCACCCACACGGGAACGGAGACAAGGUCCAGACUCCUACGGGAGGAAGCAGUGGGGAAUAUUGCACAAGGGGCGCAAGCCUGAUGCAGCCAUGCCGGGUGUAUGAAGAAGGCCUUCGGGUUGUAAAGUACUUUCAGCGGGGAGGCGGUACCCGAAGAAGAAGCACCGGCUAACUCCGUGCCAGCAGCCGCGGUAAUUC